GACACGGUGGUCCAGUGGGUAGCACUGUUACCUCACAACAAGAAGGUCCUGGGUUUGAAUCCGGCCUGGGCCU
RNAcentral lists this transfer RNA (73 nucleotides) under Anguilla anguilla (European eel). Its description in RNAcentral is "tRNA-OTHER". The record is from RNAcentral. Lineage: Eukaryota; Metazoa; Chordata; Actinopteri; Anguilliformes; Anguillidae.